This 72-nucleotide transfer RNA is filed under the name Camelus bactrianus (Bactrian camel). It matches the Rfam family "tRNA". From Rfam's summary of the family: Transfer RNA (tRNA) molecules are approximately 80 nucleotides in length. Lineage: Eukaryota; Metazoa; Chordata; Mammalia; Artiodactyla; Camelidae. RNAcentral also lists the same sequence under 2 other names. The record is from Rfam by way of RNAcentral.
GAGGGUGUGGCUCAGUGGCAGAGCGCAUGCUUAGCAUGCAUGACGUCCUAGGUUCAGUCCCUAGUACCCCUG